UGGCGAACGGGUGAGUAACGCGUGAGGAACCUGCCUCAAAGAGGGGGACAACAGUUGGAAACGACUGCUAAUACCGCAUAAGCCCACGGCUCGGCAUCGAGCAGAGGGAAAAGGAGUGAUCCGCUUUGAGAUGGCCUCGCGUCCGAUUAGCUAGUUGGUGAGGUAACGGCCCACCAAGGCGACGAUCGGUAGCCGGACUGAGAGGUUGAACGGCCACAUUGGGACUGGGACACGGCCCAG
Molecule: ribosomal RNA, 240 nt
Filed under: uncultured bacterium
Lineage: Bacteria
Description: partial 16S ribosomal RNA
Rfam family: Bacterial small subunit ribosomal RNA
Source: RNAcentral